RNAcentral lists this unclassified non-coding RNA (343 nucleotides) under soil metagenome. RNAcentral describes it as "partial contains 5.8S ribosomal RNA, internal transcribed spacer 2, and large subunit ribosomal RNA". The stretch from base 1 to 120 matches the Rfam family "5.8S ribosomal RNA", at positions 35 to 154 of the family's 154-position model. The record is from RNAcentral.
GAUGAAGAACGCAGCGAAAUGCGAUAAGUAAUGUGAAUUGCAGAAUUCAGUGAAUCAUCGAAUCUUUGAACGCACAUUGCGCCCGCCAGCAUUCUGGCGGGCAUGCCUGUUCGAGCGUCAUUUCAACCCUCGAGCCCCCCCGGGGGCCUCGGUGUUGGGGGACGGCACACCAGCCGCCCCCGAAAUGCAGUGGCGACCCCGCCGCAGCCUCCCCUGCGUAGUAGCACACACCUCGCACCGGAGCGCGGAGGCGGUCACGCCGUAAAACGCCCAACUUUCUUAGAGUUGACCUCGGAUCAGGUAGGAAUACCCGCUGAACUUAAGCAUAUCAAUAAGCUGAGGA